Molecule: small nucleolar RNA, 99 nt
Filed under: Hucho hucho (huchen)
Lineage: Eukaryota; Metazoa; Chordata; Actinopteri; Salmoniformes; Salmonidae
Description: Small nucleolar RNA SNORD21 (ENSHHUG00000048087.1)
Source: RNAcentral
UCUUGAUGAUGAUUCCAAGAUCUCUGAGCAAAUUGUAGUUGGUCCUUCAUUUGCGACGGCUGAUGUUUUUUGUUCUUUCAAGACGGGGCUGAGAGAAGC